This 46-nucleotide non-coding RNA is filed under the name Trichobilharzia regenti. The record is from RNAcentral. Lineage: Eukaryota; Metazoa; Platyhelminthes; Trematoda; Strigeidida; Schistosomatidae.
UUAUUGUUGAAGAGUCCCAGAAUAGGACGAAACAGUUGUCUGAUAC